UGUUAUGGCGUGGUUAUUUGGGCAGCUUCGCGGCUGGCCGCACCUAUGCGCGGUAGUUCCAACCCACUUAACCACGUCGCCCGU
This 84-nucleotide non-coding RNA is filed under the name Methylomonas methanica MC09. The record is from RNAcentral. Lineage: Bacteria; Pseudomonadati; Pseudomonadota; Gammaproteobacteria; Methylococcales; Methylococcaceae.